This 372-nucleotide ribosomal RNA is filed under the name uncultured Bacteroidota bacterium. RNAcentral's name for it is "bacterial SSU rRNA". It matches the Rfam family "Bacterial small subunit ribosomal RNA", at positions 524 to 898 of the family's 1533-position model. Lineage: Bacteria; Pseudomonadati; Bacteroidota. The record is from RNAcentral.
UACGGAGGAUCCGAGCGUUAUCCGGAUUUACUGGGUUUAAAGGGUGCGUAGGCGGGUCGUUAAGUCGGCGGUGAAAUGCGGGGGCUCAACCUUCGAGCUGCCGCCGAAACUGGCGACCUUGAAUUCGGUCGAGGCCGGCGGAAUGCGUGGUGUAGCGGUGAAAUGCUUAGAUAUCACGCGGAACGCCGAUUGCGAAGGCAGCUGGCCGGGCCGAGAUUGACGCUGAGGCACGAAAGCGUGGGGAUCAAACAGGAUUAGAUACCCUGGUAGUCCACGCUGUAAACGAUGAUCACUGGAUGUUGGCGAUACACCGUCAGCGUCUGAGCGAAAGCAUUAAGUGAUCCACCUGGGGAGUACGGUCGCAAGAUUGAA